AUGGAAAUAAUUAGUGGCAGACGGGUGAGUAAUGCAUAGGAAUCUACCUAGUAGUAUAGGAUAGCCACUAGAAGUGGUGGGUAAUACUGUAUAAUCCCUGCGGGGGAAAGAUUUAUCGCUACAUGAUGAGCCUAUGUUAGAUUAGCUAGUUGGUGGGGUAAAGGCCUACCAAGGCAGUGAUCUAUAGCUGGUCUGAGAGGAUGAUCAGCCACACUGGAACUGAGACACGGUCCAGACUCCUACGGGAGGCAGCAGUGGGGAAUAUUGGACAAUGGGCGCAAGCCUGAUCCAGCUAUGCCGCGUGAGUGAGGAAGGCCUUAGGGUUGUAAAGCUCUUUCAGUGGGAAAGAUAAUGACGGUACCCACAGAAGAAGUCCCGGCAAACUCCGUGCCAGCAGCCGCGGUAAUACGGAGGGGGCAAGCGUUGUUCGGAAUUAUUGGGCGUAAAGGGCAUGUAGGUGGUUUAGUUAGUUAAAGGUGAAAUGCCAGGGCUUAAC
Molecule: ribosomal RNA, 496 nt
Filed under: uncultured Anaplasma sp.
Lineage: Bacteria; Pseudomonadati; Pseudomonadota; Alphaproteobacteria; Rickettsiales; Anaplasmataceae
Description: bacterial SSU rRNA
Rfam family: Bacterial small subunit ribosomal RNA
Source: RNAcentral